GACGAACGCUGGCGGCGUGCUUAACACAUGCAAGUCGUACGGUAAGGCCCUUUCGGGGGUACACGAGUGGCGAACGGGUGAGUAACACGUGAGUAACCUGCCCACAACUUUGGGAUAACGCUAGGAAACUGGUGCUAAUACUGGAUAUGUGCUCCUGCUGCAUGGUGGGGGUUGGAAAGCUCCGGCGGUUGUGGAUGGACUCGCGGCCUAUCAGCUUGUUGGUGGGGUAGUGGCCUACCAAGGCGGCGACGGGUAGCCGGCCUGAGAGGGUGACCGGCCACAUUGGGACUGAGAGACGGCCCAGACUGCUACGGGAGGCAGCAGUGGGGAAUAUUGCACAAUGGGCGCAAGCCUGAUGAAGCAACGCCGCGGGCGGGAGGACGGCCUUCGGGUUGUAGACCGCUUUCAGCAGGGACGAAGCUUUUUGUGACGGUACCUGCAGAAGAAGCACCGGCUAACUACGUG
This 465-nucleotide ribosomal RNA is filed under the name uncultured bacterium. RNAcentral's name for it is "partial 16S ribosomal RNA". It matches the Rfam family "Bacterial small subunit ribosomal RNA", at positions 28 to 507 of the family's 1533-position model. The record is from RNAcentral.